GAUGAACGCUGGCGGCGUGCUUAACACAUGCAAGUCGAGCGAGGGAGCACCUUCGGGUGUGAACUAGCGGCGGACGGGUGAGUAACACGUGGGCAACCUGCCUUACAGAGGGGGAUAGCCUUCCGAAAGGAAGAUUAAUACCGCAUAUUAUGAUUUUUCUGCAUGGGAAAGUCAUGAAAGGAGCAAUCCGCUGUAAGAUGGGCCCGCGGCGCAUUAGCUAGUUGGUGAGGUAAGGGCUCACCAAGGCGACGAUGCGUAGCCGACCUGAGAGGGUGAUCGGCCACAUUGGGACUGAGACACGGCCCAG
RNAcentral lists this ribosomal RNA (307 nucleotides) under uncultured bacterium. Its description in RNAcentral is "bacterial SSU rRNA". It matches the Rfam family "Bacterial small subunit ribosomal RNA", at positions 28 to 334 of the family's 1533-position model. The record is from RNAcentral.